RNAcentral lists this ribosomal RNA (390 nucleotides) under uncultured bacterium. RNAcentral describes it as "partial 16S ribosomal RNA". It matches the Rfam family "Bacterial small subunit ribosomal RNA", at positions 523 to 917 of the family's 1533-position model. The record is from RNAcentral.
AUACGGAAGGGGCGAGCGUUGUUCGGAAUCAUUGGGCGUAAAGGGUGCGUAGGCGGUUGUGUAAGUCUGAUGUAAAAGCCCGCAGCUUAACUGCGGAGAUGCAUUGGAAACUGCAUAACUAGAGUAGAUGAGGGGAAACUGGAAUUUCUAGUGUAGGGGUGAAAUCUGUAGAUAUUAGGAAGAACACCAAUGGCGAAGGCAAGUUUCUGGCAUCAAACUGACGCUGAGGCACGAAAGCGUGGGUAGCAAACAGGAUUAGAUACCCUGGUAGUCCACGCUGUAAACGAUGUACACUAGUUGUUGGGGUAAAACUCGGUGACGAAGCUAACGCAUUAAGUGUACCGCCUGGGGAGUAUGCUCGCAAGGGUGAAACUCAAAUGAAUUGGCGGG